This 1239-nucleotide ribosomal RNA is filed under the name Halomonas sp. RNAcentral describes it as "bacterial SSU rRNA". It matches the Rfam family "Bacterial small subunit ribosomal RNA", at positions 160 to 1400 of the family's 1533-position model. Lineage: Bacteria; Pseudomonadati; Pseudomonadota; Gammaproteobacteria; Oceanospirillales; Halomonadaceae. The record is from RNAcentral.
AGGCUAAUACCGCAUACGUCCUACGGGAGAAAGGGGGCUUCGGCUCCCGCUAUUGGAUGAGCCUAUGUCGGAUUAGCUAGUUGGUGAGGUAAAGGCUCACCAAGGCAACGAUCCGUAGCUGGUCUGAGAGGAUGAUCAGCCACAUCGGGACUGAGACACGGCCCGAACUCCUACGGGAGGCAGCAGUGGGGAAUAUUGGACAAUGGGGGCAACCCUGAUCCAGCCAUGCCGCGUAUGUGAAGAAGGCCCUCGGGUUGUAAAGCACUUUCAGCGAGGAAGAACGCCUGUCGGUUAAUACCCGGUAGGAAAGACAUCACUCGCAGAAGAAGCACCGGCUAACUCCGUGCCAGCAGCCGCGGUAAUACGGAGGGUGCAAGCGUUAAUCGGAAUUACUGGGCGUAAAGCGCGCGUAGGUGGCUUGAUAAGCCGGUUGUGAAAGCCCCGGGCUCAACCUGGGAACGGCAUCCGGAACUGUCAGGCUAGAGUGCAGGAGAGGAAGGUAGAAUUCCCGGUGUAGCGGUGAAAUGCGUAGAGAUCGGGAGGAAUACCAGUGGCGAAGGCGGCCUUCUGGACUGACACUGACACUGAGGUGCGAAAGCGUGGGUAGCAAACAGGAUUAGAUACCCUGGUAGUCCACGCCGUAAACGAUGUCGACCAGCCGUUGGGUGCCUAGCGCACUUUGUGGCGAAGUUAACGCGAUAAGUCGACCGCCUGGGGAGUACGGCCGCAAGGUUAAAACUCAAAUGAAUUGACGGGGGCCCGCACAAGCGGUGGAGCAUGUGGUUUAAUUCGAUGCAACGCGAAGAACCUUACCUACCCUUGACAUCUACAGAAGCCGGAAGAGAUUCUGGUGUGCCUUCGGGAACUGUAAGACAGGUGCUGCAUGGCUGUCGUCAGCUCGUGUUGUGAAAUGUUGGGUUAAGUCCCGUAACGAGCGCAACCCUUGUCCUUAUUUGCCAGCACGUAAUGGUGGGAACUCUAAGGAGACUGCCGGUGACAAACCGGAGGAAGGUGGGGACGACGUCAAGUCAUCAUGGCCCUUACGGGUAGGGCUACACACGUGCUACAAUGGCCGGUACAAAGGGCUGCGAGCUCGCGAGAGUCAGCGAAUCCCUUAAAGCCGGUCUCAGUCCGGAUCGGAGUCUGCAACUCGACUCCGUGAAGUCGGAAUCGCUAGUAAUCGUGAAUCAGAAUGUCACGGUGAAUACGUUCCCGGGCCUUGUACACACCGCCCGUCAC